This 1247-nucleotide ribosomal RNA is filed under the name Bacillus sp. (in: firmicutes). RNAcentral's name for it is "bacterial SSU rRNA". It matches the Rfam family "Bacterial small subunit ribosomal RNA", at positions 22 to 1253 of the family's 1533-position model. Lineage: Bacteria; Bacillati; Bacillota; Bacilli; Caryophanales; Bacillaceae. The record is from RNAcentral.
GCUCAGGACGAACGCUGGCGGCGUGCCUAAUACAUGCAAGUCGAGCGGACAGAAGGGAGCUUGCUCCCGGAUGUUAGCGGCGGACGGGUGAGUAACACGUGGGUAACCUGCCUGUAAGACUGGGAUAACUCCGGGAAACCGGAGCUAAUACCGGAUAGUUCCUUGAACCGCAUGGUUCAAGGAUGAAAGACGGUUUCGGCUGUCACUUACAGAUGGACCCGCGGCGCAUUAGCUAGUUGGUGAGGUAACGGCUCACCAAGGCGACGAUGCGUAGCCGACCUGAGAGGGUGAUCGGCCACACUGGGACUGAGACACGGCCCAGACUCCUACGGGAGGCAGCAGUAGGGAAUCUUCCGCAAUGGACGAAAGUCUGACGGAGCAACGCCGCGUGAGUGAUGAAGGUUUUCGGAUCGUAAAGCUCUGUUGUUAGGGAAGAACAAGUGCAAGAGUAACUGCUUGCACCUUGACGGUACCUAACCAGAAAGCCACGGCUAACUACGUGCCAGCAGCCGCGGUAAUACGUAGGUGGCAAGCGUUGUCCGGAAUUAUUGGGCGUAAAGGGCUCGCAGGCGGUUUCUUAAGUCUGAUGUGAAAGCCCCCGGCUCAACCGGGGAGGGUCAUUGGAAACUGGGAAACUUGAGUGCAGAAGAGGAGAGUGGAAUUCCACGUGUAGCGGUGAAAUGCGUAGAGAUGUGGAGGAACACCAGUGGCGAAGGCGACUCUCUGGUCUGUAACUGACGCUGAGGAGCGAAAGCGUGGGGAGCGAACAGGAUUAGAUACCCUGGUAGUCCACGCCGUAAACGAUGAGUGCUAAGUGUUAGGGGGUUUCCGCCCCUUAGUGCUGCAGCUAACGCAUUAAGCACUCCGCCUGGGGAGUACGGUCGCAAGACUGAAACUCAAAGGAAUUGACGGGGGCCCGCACAAGCGGUGGAGCAUGUGGUUUAAUUCGAAGCAACGCGAAGAACCUUACCAGGUCUUGACAUCCUCUGACAACCCUAGAGAUAGGGCUUUCCCUUCGGGGACAGAGUGACAGGUGGUGCAUGGUUGUCGUCAGCUCGUGUCGUGAGAUGUUGGGUUAAGUCCCGCAACGAGCGCAACCCUUGAUCUUAGUUGCCAGCAUUCAGUUGGGCACUCUAAGGUGACUGCCGGUGACAAACCGGAGGAAGGUGGGGAUGACGUCAAAUCAUCAUGCCCCUUAUGACCUGGGCUACACACGUGCUACAAUGGACAGAACAAAGGGCUGCGAG